CUGAGUUUACAACUCCCAAACCCCUGUGAACAUACCUUUUGUUGCUUCGGCGGGAUCGCCCCGGUGCCCUGCGCGCCGGAUCAGGCCCCCGCCGCAAGACCUAAAACUCUGUUUUUAUAGUUAUUCUUCUGAGUGGCUUUAAGCAAAAAAUAAAUUA
Molecule: unclassified non-coding RNA, 157 nt
Filed under: uncultured fungus
Lineage: Eukaryota; Fungi
Also listed under: 1 other name
Description: sequence contains ITS1, 5.8S rRNA gene
Source: RNAcentral